This 73-nucleotide transfer RNA is filed under the name Kordia aestuariivivens. RNAcentral describes it as "Kordia sp. YSTF-M3 tRNA-Asp". It matches the Rfam family "tRNA". Rfam says of the family: Transfer RNA (tRNA) molecules are approximately 80 nucleotides in length. Their secondary structure includes four short double-helical elements and three loops (D, anti-codon, and T loops). The record is from RNAcentral. Lineage: Bacteria; Pseudomonadati; Bacteroidota; Flavobacteriia; Flavobacteriales; Flavobacteriaceae.
ACGGUAGUAGCUCAGCUGGAAGAGUGCCUGCCUGUCACGCAGGAAGACGUGGGUUCGAAUCUCACCUACUGUU